RNAcentral lists this ribosomal RNA (498 nucleotides) under uncultured microorganism. RNAcentral describes it as "bacterial SSU rRNA". It matches the Rfam family "Bacterial small subunit ribosomal RNA", at positions 9 to 489 of the family's 1533-position model. The record is from RNAcentral.
GAGUUUGAUCGUGGCUCAGGAUGAACGCUGGCGGCGUGCCUAAUACAUGCAAGUAGAACGCUGAAGCUUGGUGCUUGCACCGAGCGGAUGAGUUGCGAACGGGUGAGUAACGCGUAGGUAACCUGCCUGGUAGCGGGGGAUAACUAUUGGAAACGAUAGCUAAUACCGCAUAACAGUAGAUAUUGCAUGAUAUCUGCUUGAAAGGUGCAAUUGCAUCACUACCAGAUGGACCUGCGUUGUAUUAGCUAGUUGGUGAGGUAACGGCUCACCAAGGCGACGAUACAUAGCCGACCUGAGAGGGUGAUCGGCCACACUGGGACUGAGACACGGCCCAGACUCCUACGGGAGGCAGCAGUAGGGAAUCUUCGGCAAUGGGGGGAACCCUGACCGAGCAACGCCGCGUGAGUGAAGAAGGUUUUCGGAUCGUAAAGCUCUGUUGUAAGAGAAGAACGAGUGUGAGAGUGGAAAGUUCACACUGUGACGGUAUCUUACCAGAAA